GACCUGGUGGUGAAUGGUUCACACCCACCCUCCUUGACCAGCCGUUUCUGAACCCAUGUGAGGUGGGAGGCCCCGGUUCGAUUCCGGGUCAGGUCA
Mycena metata is the source of this 96-nucleotide non-coding RNA. NCBI's taxonomy places the organism in Eukaryota, Fungi, Basidiomycota, Agaricomycetes, Agaricales, Mycenaceae. The record is from the annotation of a GenBank genome assembly.